Molecule: small RNA, 35 nt
Filed under: Bombyx mori (domestic silkworm)
Lineage: Eukaryota; Metazoa; Arthropoda; Insecta; Lepidoptera; Bombycidae
Description: ovarian small RNA-15920
Source: RNAcentral
GAGGGUCGCGGGUUCGAGCCCCGUCCGCUGCGCCA